AGAUAAAGAAGUGGGGGCUCAGAGCAGUCACGAUUAACAUGCCCCAAGUUAUUCGUCAGUGAAGCGGAAAUUGUGGUGUUCUUGUUUUUUGUGGGUCAGGAGAUCAGAAAUGGUUCCAUUUCAAGGUCUCUCACACGGCUGCAAUCAAGAUGUUGGCAUGGCUGGGGUCUCAUCUGAAGGCUGGAGUGGAGAAGAAUCUACUUCCAAACUUAUGUGGUAGUUGGAAGAAUUUAGUUCCUCAAGGCUGCUAAACUGAUGGCCUGUGUUCCUUGCCUCUGGGAUGGUAGCUUGCUUCAACCAAGUGUGCAAGCAGAGAAGACAGAGAGAGUCCGCUAGCAAGACAGAAGCCACAAUCUCUUGUAAUCUAUCAUUUUUGCUGUAUUCUACUGGUUAAAAAUAACUCAUUAGGUUAAGCCUACUGGCUCUCAAGGGGAAGAGAUUAUACAAAGGCAUGAAUUUCUGGAGGAGGGAAUGAGGGCAAAGAAUUCUGAGAAGUCUGUCUUCCACAAUCUGAAGAACUUCUAGAAAGUAGGAGGAAGCGAUAUUGCUUAGGGAUGGACAACUUGGCACUGGUUGUGUUCCAAGUGAGGUAACCUUGUUCCCAAGAAUAAAGAGAACCAGAUGUCUGUAAAUGUUUCCCUGAACUGAAAUGCAGAUUGUUGUAUGUUCACCUGAAAUGAAUGGUGUAAGCUGAAUAUAAGAUUUUUGACAAAAUAAAAAUUUUGCUGUGUUCUCAGA
Pongo pygmaeus (Bornean orangutan) is the source of this 738-nucleotide long non-coding RNA. RefSeq lists it as uncharacterized. Lineage: Eukaryota; Metazoa; Chordata; Mammalia; Primates; Hominidae. The transcript is spliced from 2 exons. The record is from RefSeq and is a predicted model, not a curated record.